Molecule: ribosomal RNA, 253 nt
Filed under: uncultured Acidobacteriota bacterium
Lineage: Bacteria; Pseudomonadati; Acidobacteriota
Description: uncultured Acidobacteria bacterium partial 16S ribosomal RNA
Rfam family: Bacterial small subunit ribosomal RNA
Source: RNAcentral
UACGGAGGGAGCAAGCGUUACUCGGAAUUAUUGGGCGUAAAGGGCGCGUAGGCGAUCCGAUAAGUCUUGUGUGAAAUCCCAGGGCCUAACCCUGGAAUGGCACAGGAAACUGCUGGAUUUGAGUUCCGGAGAGGAAGGCAGAAUUCCCGGUGUAGCGGUGAAAUGCGUAGAUAUCGGGAGGAAUACCAGUGGCGAAGGCGGCCUUCUGGACGGAUACUGACGCUGAGGCGCGAAAGCCAGGGGAGCGAACGGG